CGGUGGCGCAGUGGUUAGCGCUCUUGCCUUUCAGCAAGAAGACCCCGGUUCAAGUCCUGGCUG
Molecule: non-coding RNA, 63 nt
Organism: Oryzias latipes (Japanese medaka)
Lineage: Eukaryota; Metazoa; Chordata; Actinopteri; Beloniformes; Adrianichthyidae
Source: Rfam